This 291-nucleotide long non-coding RNA is filed under the name Jatropha curcas. RNAcentral describes it as "long non-coding RNA (JCUR_LNC003015)". Lineage: Eukaryota; Viridiplantae; Streptophyta; Magnoliopsida; Malpighiales; Euphorbiaceae. The record is from RNAcentral.
UCUCAUCUAUUUGAGCUUUGGACAGAGAACGGAGGCCCAUCCCUCCGGGGUCAGCAAAGAAGCCAGGCUCAGAAAAGGACACUUCAAGCCUCUUUUCAUAGCCUUCAAAUCCAAUAGCAGAGGUAGGCAAGGCCAUCUUGCCUCAGAGGAACAAAUAACACUUGUGAAGGAGUAUGAGAGAACGAGGUAAGUAGAAAAGAAAUGCAGAAUAAAAAACAAUAUUGUAAGUAUGAGAGCUAAGACGGGGAUAUAUGUUCACAGUUGGGCGAUCUCAGGAUGGCUUCCUCACGC